CCCACAGGCAUCCGCAUCAAGCCCAAAAGGCUAGUUCUUCUCUAUUUCCGCGUUGUUCUCACCGGCGAUAACAUCCGGCGGAGCCCGCCCGUCCACCAUGUCUCUCCUUCCUCCUCCCUUCGCCGUCAAAUUUCUCCGCUCUCUUCCCUCCGCCGCCUCCGCUUCCUCCACUACCGGCGCCGCCUCUGCCUCGGCUUCUUAUUUCUCGAUCCCUCUAAAUAAUGUCAGCUCGCAUAGCAUUCAAAGAAGAUUCGCCGUGGAGGCCGCAGGGAAAAGCCCCAUCGAACCCCAUCUCCCCUUCUCCUCUCUCGCGCUCGAUGCCUCCGCCUCCCCCGAUUCCGCUUCCCUCACCGCCUCCGUUGCAUCGCCGCCCUCCAUUUCGCUUACCCGGUGGAAUCUCGACCAUCGGCACAUCUUUGUGCUGAACUGCGCUGCUUGCGUGGCUGCACUUUCGGCGUUAUGGCUGUUCUUUUCUGCGAUCCCAGCCCUUUUGGCUUUCAAGAGGGCUGCGGAGUCACUCGAGAAGCUGUUGGACGUCACGGCAGAAGAGCUCCCGGACACCAUGGCUGCUGUUAGACUCUCUGGCAUGGAAAUCAGUGAUUUAACCAUGGAGCUCAGUGACCUGGGUCAGGAGAUAACACAGGGUGUCAGAAGCUCUACCCGAGCAGUUCGGAUAGCUGAAGAUAGAUUGCGGCGUCUCACUACUAUGGCUCCAAUUGUGCCGGUGCAGGGAAAAACCACAUGGAAGGAUGAGACUGAGGGACCAGUUGUAGCUAGAACAGCAAGGAACCUGCGGGAGGGGAUUGCAAAGGGACGUGCAAUUUUUGGGGUAAUUUUUAGUGUCACGCAAAUUUCUUGGCGGGCUUUCAACUUUUUGUCUGCACUUGGACGAAAGCAGACUGUCUGACAGCAAGCGGUGAGCUUAUUUGAAAUAUUUCAGCUGCUGGGAAUAGAAGCAUUUACUCUGACCAGAUGUGACUGCCAUACAUUUGUAUUGAAUCAGUCUGUGUUGUGGAAGGCUUAUUGUUAUGUUUUGAGUGGAUCGAUUUGCAGGCUCUAGGUGUAGGCUUACAUGGUGUGAAUAAGAUUUGUCGCUGAACAUGCGAUAUCCUACACUUAAUAGAUACUGCAAGUACUUCCCCAGAUCAGAAUCUUAGAACUAAUUUUGAUUAGGUCCAGGGGCUCCGACUCCGUCGUGCUGGCACAGGGGCUCCUGUUCAUCAGCAGCUGUGCAAGGACUCCUACCAACCGUGCCGAUUUCAGCAAUUUUAGGAGUAUGUUAUCUUUUUUCUUGUGAGAGGAGGAACAAUAUGUUAUCUGUGACCAAGGCUAUGCUAGUAAAAGCCUGAUCUCGAAUACUAAAUAAAUGAACCCAGGUUUGAAAGCCUAAAAGCAACAGCAUAUUAGAUUCUUCUUAAAAAA
Non-coding RNA from Phoenix dactylifera (date palm), 1422 nucleotides. NCBI's taxonomy places the organism in Eukaryota, Viridiplantae, Streptophyta, Magnoliopsida, Arecales, Arecaceae. The record is from RefSeq and is a predicted model, not a curated record.